This 791-nucleotide ribosomal RNA is filed under the name uncultured Bacillota bacterium. RNAcentral's name for it is "bacterial SSU rRNA". It matches the Rfam family "Bacterial small subunit ribosomal RNA", at positions 1 to 799 of the family's 1533-position model. Lineage: Bacteria; Bacillati; Bacillota. The record is from RNAcentral.
AGGGAGUUUGAUCCUGGCUCAGGAUGAACGCUGGCGGCGUGCCUAACACAUGCAAGUCGAACGGGACUGAUUCCUUGGAGAUUCGUCAAAGAGGAUGAAAGUUUAGUGGCGGACGGGUGAGUAACGCGUGGGUAACCUGCCUCAUAGAGGGGGACAACAGCUGGAAACGGCUGCUAAUACCGCAUAAGCCCACACUGCCGCAUGGCAGAGGGGGAAAAGAUUUAUCGCUAUGAGAUGGACCCGCGUUUGAUUAGCUUGUUGGCGGUGUAACGGACCACCAAGGCGACGAUCAAUAGCCGGACUGAGAGGUUGAACGGCCACAUUGGGACUGAGACACGGCCCAAACUCCUACGGGAGGCAGCAGUGGGGAAUAUUGCACAAUGGGGGAAACCCUGAUGCAGCGACGCCGCGUGGGUGAAGAAGUUUUUCGGAAUGUAAAGCCCUAUCAGCAGGGAAGAUAAUGACGGUACCUGACUAAGAAGCCCCGGCUAACUACGUGCCAGCAGCCGCGGUAAUACGUAGGGGGCAAGCGUUAUCCGGAUUUACUGGGUGUAAAGGGAGCGUAGACGGAAUAGCAAGUCUGGAGUGAAAUGUAGGGGCUUAACCCCUGAACUGCUUUGGAAACUGUUGAUCUUGAGUACCGGAGGGGCAGGCGGAAUUCCUGGUGUAGCGGUGAAAUGCGUAGAUAUCAGGAAGAACACCGGUGGCGAAGGCGGCCUGCUGGACGGUAACUGACGUUGAGGCUCGAAAGCGUGGGGAGCAAACAGGAUUAGAUACCCUGGUAGUCCCCU